Molecule: long non-coding RNA, 230 nt
Filed under: Elaeis guineensis (African oil palm)
Lineage: Eukaryota; Viridiplantae; Streptophyta; Magnoliopsida; Arecales; Arecaceae
Description: long non-coding RNA (EGUI_LNC016972)
Source: RNAcentral
AAAUUAUGCUCUAGAAGUGUACAUGUGUCAGCCAAUCUGACUUCUAAAGCACACAUCUAACACUUGAAAGAUAGACCAAAUCAAAAUGAAGAAAAUGAAGCCAAAGAUGAUAGACAAAAAAAUCUAUUAAAGAAAUUAUUGAUAAAGAGCAUGAUGACUUGCCCAAGGAGUGAAAGUUCAUAUGCAAUCAUCUGAAAGAUUUCAUUAUAGGUGAAUCUUCACAAGGGAUA